UAGUGGCGGACGGGUGAGUAACGCGUGAGCAAUCUGCCUUUAAGAGGGGGAUAACAGUCGGAAACGACUGCUAAUACCGCAUAACGUAUGGAAUUCGCAUGAUUUCCAUACCAAAGGAGCAAUCCGCUUUUAGAUGAGCUCGCGUCUGAUUAGCUAGUUGGCGGGGUAACGGCCCACCAAGGCGACGAUCAGUAGCCGGACUGAGAGGUUGAACGGCCACAUUGGGACUGAGACACGGCCCAGACUCCUACGGGAGACAGCAGUGGGGAAUAUUGCGCAACGGGGGAAACCCUGACGCAGCAACGCCGCGUGAUUGAAGAAGGCCUUCGGGUUGUAAAGAUCUUUAAUUCGGGACGAAAAAAAUGACGGUACCGAAAGAAUAAGCUCCGGCUAACUACGUGCCAGCAGCCGCGGUAAUACGUAGGGAGCAAGCGUUAUCCGGAUUUACUGGGUGUAAAGGGCGCGCAGGCGGGCUUGCAAGUUGGGAGUGAAAUCCCGGGGCUCAACCCCGGAACUGCUUUCAAAACUGUGAGUCUUGAGUGAUGGAGAGGCAGGCGGAAUUCCCAGUGUAGCGGUGAAAUGCGUAGAUAUUGGGAGGAACACCAGUGGCGAAGGCGGCCUGCUGGACAUUAACUGACGCUGAGGCGCGAAAGCGUGGGGAGCAAGCAGGAUUAGAUACCCUGGUAGUCCACGCCGUAAACGAUGGAUACUAGGUGUGGGGGGUAUUGACCCCCUCCGUGCCGCAGUUAACACAAUAAGUAUCCCACCUGGGGAGUACGGCCGCAAGGUGAA
RNAcentral lists this ribosomal RNA (792 nucleotides) under uncultured bacterium. RNAcentral describes it as "bacterial SSU rRNA". It matches the Rfam family "Bacterial small subunit ribosomal RNA", at positions 93 to 897 of the family's 1533-position model. The record is from RNAcentral.